AUGGCCGGCGUCCUCGCGCGCUACCGCCGCUCCCUCGUCGAGCGCACCAAGCACCACCUCGGCUACCCAUACAAUCUGGACUUUGAGUACGGUGCUCUCUCCCAGCUGCAGCACUUCUCCAUUAACAACCUGGGCGACCCAUUCAUCGAGAGCAACUAUGGCGUGCACUCCAGGCAGUUUGAAGUGGGUGUGUUGGAUUGGUUUGCUCGCCUUUGGGACCUCGAAAAGGAUGAAUAUUGGGGAUACAUUACGAACUGUGGCACCGAAGGAAAUCUGCAUGGGAUCCUUGUCGGAAGGGAAGUUUUCCCUGAUGGGAUCUUGUAUGCCUCUCGUGAUUCACACUACUCGGUGUUCAAAGCAGCGAGAAUGUACAGGAUGGAUUGCGUUAAAGUGGAUACUCUUGUCUCUGGAGAAAUAGAUUGUGCAGAUUUUGGAAGAAAGCUACUUGAAAACAAAGAUAAACCUGCUAUUAUUAAUGUCAACAUUGGGACAACUGUCAAGGGAGCAGUUGAUGAUCUUGACUUGGUUAUCGAAACACUUGAAAAAAGUGGGUUCAAGGAUCGGUUUUAUAUACACUGUGACGGUGCUCUGUUUGGUCUGAUGAUGCCAUUUGUUAAGCAGGCACCUAGGGUAUCCUUUAAGAAGCCCAUUGGGAGUGUGAGCGUGUCUGGUCACAAGUUUGUUGGAUGUCCCAUGCCCUGUGGUGUCCAGAUAACAAGGAAAGGUUAUAGAGGUUUUCAGAAGGAAGUUCAGAAGUGCUUGAGAAAUGCACAUUACCUGAAAGAUCGGCUCAAGGAUGCUGGAAUUAGUGCGAUGCUUAACGAGCUCAGUAGUACAGUAGUUUUUGAGAGGCCAAAGGACGAGGAGUUUGUGCGACGGUGGCAGCUUGCUUGUGAGGGAGGUAUAUCACAUGUUGUGGUAAUGCCCAGCGUCAAUGUUGAUAAGCUGGAUACUUUCUUAAAUGAGUUGGUGGAGAAGCGGGUAACCUGGUACCAGGAAGGAAAAUGCCAAUCUCCUUGCAUUGCAGCUGAUGUAGGCCAGGAGAACUGUCUUUGUACUCUGCACAAGUCAUAA
RNAcentral lists this ribosomal RNA (1074 nucleotides) under Triticum aestivum (bread wheat). RNAcentral describes it as "partial small subunit ribosomal RNA". Lineage: Eukaryota; Viridiplantae; Streptophyta; Magnoliopsida; Poales; Poaceae. The record is from RNAcentral.